UGGGCACUAGAUACAGUGAACUAUAGAAGAUUAUAAUUUACUCAUAAAGUGCCCAAAAUCAAAUGUUCUUCGAUGACUGUCACUAAUAUAGUUUAAUGUGAAAGACAGAUACGGAACAAACAUUU
Ctenocephalides felis (cat flea) is the source of this 125-nucleotide non-coding RNA. RefSeq annotates it as small Cajal body-specific RNA 8. The record is from RefSeq and is a predicted model, not a curated record. Lineage: Eukaryota; Metazoa; Arthropoda; Insecta; Siphonaptera; Pulicidae. The transcript has a single exon.